CCUGCUGGAGCUGCGCCGGCUCGCUGCCGUCGCCGGAGGCGACCGGGCGGGCGCAGGCGCCGGUGACCGCUGCGUACGAGUCGCGCUGCGGGUC
Molecule: transfer RNA, 94 nt
Filed under: Planosporangium flavigriseum
Lineage: Bacteria; Bacillati; Actinomycetota; Actinomycetes; Micromonosporales; Micromonosporaceae
Description: tRNA-Ser
Source: RNAcentral